GGAGAGAUGGCUCAGUGGUUAAGAGCACUGACUACUCUUCCGGAAGUCCUGAGUUCAAUUCCCAGCAACCACA
Molecule: transfer RNA, 73 nt
Filed under: Mus musculus (house mouse)
Lineage: Eukaryota; Metazoa; Chordata; Mammalia; Rodentia; Muridae
Description: tRNA-Ser
Source: RNAcentral